UCAUUUCUAUAUUGGCUUAAUAACGCCCUCCGAAGGCAGAGGCCAGAGGUUCGAAUCCUCUCGGGUGCGCCA
Molecule: transfer RNA, 72 nt
Filed under: Kordiimonas lacus
Lineage: Bacteria; Pseudomonadati; Pseudomonadota; Alphaproteobacteria; Kordiimonadales; Kordiimonadaceae
Description: tRNA_Arg_CCG
Source: RNAcentral